RNAcentral lists this ribosomal RNA (467 nucleotides) under Capnocytophaga sp. oral taxon 329. Its description in RNAcentral is "bacterial SSU rRNA". It matches the Rfam family "Bacterial small subunit ribosomal RNA", at positions 28 to 500 of the family's 1533-position model. The record is from RNAcentral. Lineage: Bacteria; Pseudomonadati; Bacteroidota; Flavobacteriia; Flavobacteriales; Flavobacteriaceae.
GAUGAACGCUAGCGGCAGGCCUAACACAUGCAAGUCGAGGGAGGAGCUUUCGGGCUUCGACCGGCGUACGGGUGCGUAACGCGUAUACAAUCUGCCUUUCACAUAGGGAUAGCCCGAAGAAAUUUGGAUUAAUACCUAAUAGUAUAUAGAUGUGGCAUCACAUUUAUAUUAAAGCUGAGGCGGUGAAAGAUGAGUAUGCGUUCUAUUAGCUAGUUGGAGAGGUAACAGCUCCCCAAGGCGACGAUAGAUAGGGGUUCUGAGAGGGAUAUCCCCCACACUGGUACUGAGAUACGGACCAGACUCCUACGGGAGGCAGCAGUGAGGAAUAUUAGACAAUGGUCGGAAGACUGAUCCAGCCAUGCCGCGUGCAGGAAGACGGCCUUAUGGGUUGUAAACUGCUUUUGCAGGGGAAGAGUAAGGACUACGUGUAGUUUGAUGACGGUACUCUGCGAAUAAGCAUCGGCUAA